ACUUACCAGGUCAAGACAUGGGCGUGAUUGACAGGCUAAUGACUUUUCUCGAUUCCAUGGAUGGUGGUGCAUGGUCGCACUUAGUUGGUGCAGUGAUUUGUCAGGUUUAUUCCGGUAACGAACGAGACCUCGGCCUUGUAAAUAGCUAUGCUGCUUACAGGGACAUUGGCGGCUACGCCAAGGAAGCUCGAGGCAAUUGCAGAUCUGGAAUGCCCUUAGAUGUCCUGGGUCGCACGCGUGCUACAAUGACGCCACGAACGAGCUUGCGUGAUGAAAGUUACGCAUAAUCAGCAGUCGGCGUCUUAAGGGAUAGUCUCUUGUAACUGUGGGACUCCAACUAGGAAUGUCUCGUAAGCACAAGUCAACAUCUUGUGUUGAUUACGUCCCUGCUCUUUGUACACACCGCCCGUCGCUCCUACCGAUCGAGUGUUUAGGUGAAUUUGAUGGACGUAAGGAAGUCAAAUAAACCUGAGCACUAGAGAAGAGAAGUCGAGAAUGUC
RNAcentral lists this ribosomal RNA (500 nucleotides) under uncultured Myrionecta. Its description in RNAcentral is "bacterial SSU rRNA". It matches the Rfam family "Eukaryotic small subunit ribosomal RNA", at positions 1213 to 1801 of the family's 1831-position model. Lineage: Eukaryota; Ciliophora; Litostomatea; Cyclotrichida; Mesodiniidae. The record is from RNAcentral.